RNAcentral lists this ribosomal RNA (305 nucleotides) under uncultured bacterium. RNAcentral's name for it is "bacterial SSU rRNA". It matches the Rfam family "Bacterial small subunit ribosomal RNA", at positions 333 to 656 of the family's 1533-position model. The record is from RNAcentral.
UUUUGCCUACGGGAGGCAGCAGUGGGGAAUAUUGGACAAUGGGGGGAACCCUGAUCCAGCGACGCCGCGUGAGUGAAGAAGUAUUUCGGUAUGUAAAGCUCUAUCAGCAGGGAAGAAAAUGACGGUACCUGACUAAGAAGCCCCGGCUAACUACGUGCCAGCAGCCGCGGUAAUACGGAGGAUGCGAGCGUUAUCCGGAUUUAUUGGGUUUAAAGGGUGCGCAGGCGGCGAGUUAAGUCAGCGGUAAAAUUUCGGGGCUCAACCCCGACGAGCCGUUGAAACUGGCUUGCUAGAGUGGGCGAGAA